CGGGGAGCGAAAGCGAGAGGGAGUGCGGCAGCGGGUGGGAGAUCGGGAGCCCCCCGAAAAAAACAGAGGCGCACGUCGAUGCCAUCGAGGAUUUGGAACCUCAAUGGGUGGGAAUGUUUAAAUAUUCUGUGUUAGGUAGUCCAGUUUCAUAGACUAUGGAUUCUCUCAUGCAGCAAAAUGUUUCAGUCGCUCUGGAGCCAAAGACUUAAGGACGACUCGCAGUCCCCCCUUACAUUUGGCUGCCUAAGCCCCUGGAGCCACUAGCAAACUUGUUCUACGCUUGCACUGAAAAUAGAAAUUAAAAACCAAAGUAAACAAUCAAAAAGACCAAAAACAAUAACAACCAGCACCGAGCCGAACAUCAGUGAGGCAUUGCAAAAAUUUCAAAGUCAAGUUUGCGUCGUCAUCGCGUCUGAGUCCGAUCAAGCCGGGCUUGUAAUUGAAGUUGUUGAUGAGCCGCGGGAUUACUGGAUUGUGGCGAAUUCUGAAUGCGACGGCGCCAUCAUCCUGUUUGGGAAUUCAAUUCGCGGGCAGAUCGCUUAAUUCAAUUAAAAGG
Molecule: long non-coding RNA, 556 nt
Organism: Drosophila mauritiana
Lineage: Eukaryota; Metazoa; Arthropoda; Insecta; Diptera; Drosophilidae
Exons: 2
Source: RefSeq, a predicted model, not a curated record